CCGUCUCCCAUCUCCCCAUCUCAAACCCCACGCGGUGGUGGACGCACUAGAAGUCUAGAAACCAACCUCCUCUAGGGUUUGGGGCCGUCAUCGGCGAUACAAACGGCGGCGAGCCUUGCGGGCCAAGGGCAGGAUCACAAGACGAUCAAUCUGGAGGAUGGGUGGACAUGCAGAAGGGCAUCAACAUCCUUGAGGGCAAGCAAGAGCCGCAGUACAUGUUCGAGGAUUACAUGAUGCGCUCUGCAUGUACAAAUCGCCUCCAUCCGACCAUGGCUAGCUUAUGCCCGAUUCGAUCUGUUCUGGUGUUUUUUUUCAUCGAUCUGUUCUGGUGUUUUUUUUCCAUCGAUCUGUUCUGGUGCUGACAUGUGUGUUGUGUGUACAGAACUACAGAUUAGUCCCCUGUUUUGUGGGUGUAUGUAUGUCGGCGCUGUUGGUUUUCCGGUCCAGUGAGUCAAGGCGGAUCUGAUUGUCUUUUUAUUUCCAACAUGCUCUGACGGGUGUGCAUUUGUGGAUUUUUUGGAUUCAGGUCAGUUUAUUUGGAUCCAUGGGCCAAACAAACAGCAUCAGGAAGCUGGAAAACUGAACCCUUCAUUCCGACAGCUUGGAGGAAUGCUGGAUCCAGCCCCCAUCUUUGUUGUGUUGUAUAUAGAUCUGCUCUCACUUGCGUAUAUGAGGUGAGCAUUCAACAAUCUCUGAUCUUCUAGCAUGGCAAUGGUGUUUUUUGGCCACCUGACUCUGCAGCUAGGGAGGAAGACAUCUAGGUUGCUCCUUUCUAUCAGUGAUAAGCUUACAAGCAGGGACAACGACGAUGUUUCUGAAAUUCAAGGUGUUGUGGCCUGUUCACCUGCUAUUGUAAUUUCCUUGACGGUAAUUAAAUAGAUGAAUUAAUCCAGUAGUUAUGAGCUCAGUUCCUCCUGGACAGCCGGGCCAAACUGACCAAUUUCUCUCCUCUUCUCGCCUUAACUUGUGGCGAGAGGUGCAGCUUGAAAGAGUAGUUACAAACUAAUAAAUUAACGGGCAUCCGAGGAGACACAUUAUGUACUUUAUUAUACAAAUGUAUUCUCCUAGCGCCAGUUGAUUUUCUUAUGCCACUCCUCCCUUGUGUACAUUCUUUUGUCCCCAGAUAGUUUAUGAAUUACUUGCAUUUUUACCAUACUUAAAAAAAAUAGCUUAGAAACAAAAUAGUCGCACAUACAUGGAUCCAACAUCCAAAUUUAUUUCUUUUACAUUCAGCUAUAGCUAUGCUGAUUUUGAUGCACUCUUUUCAUGUAUUUAACAUGCAAGUGUUAUCAUUGAAAGGCUUCUUCGUUUCUAAUUCGUUGUAUUAACACUACUGUUUCCGGUCUAUGCAAGCAUCUAUAUUCUUUGAAAGAUAUGUUUGCCGGAAGUGUUUUGAUGGACAGGAGGUCACUGUUUAUUUUUUACAUGGUUUAUUUCUCCACACUAAAACAUUUAGCAAUAAAAA
Molecule: long non-coding RNA, 1465 nt
Organism: Aegilops tauschii subsp. strangulata
Lineage: Eukaryota; Viridiplantae; Streptophyta; Magnoliopsida; Poales; Poaceae
Source: RefSeq, a predicted model, not a curated record